RNAcentral lists this non-coding RNA (108 nucleotides) under Clostridium carboxidivorans. RNAcentral's name for it is "SAM-I sequence". It matches the Rfam family "SAM riboswitch aptamer (S box leader)". From Rfam's summary of the family: The SAM riboswitch is found upstream of a number of genes which code for proteins involved in methionine or cysteine biosynthesis in Gram-positive bacteria. The SAM riboswitch acts at the level of transcription termination control. The record is from RNAcentral. RNAcentral also lists the same sequence under 1 other name. Lineage: Bacteria; Bacillati; Bacillota; Clostridia; Eubacteriales; Clostridiaceae.
UUCUUAUCUAGAGAGGCUGAGGGACUGGCCCUAUGACGCCCAGCAACCUGAAUAACAUUUUUGUUCAAAGGUGCUAAUUCCAGCAGGUUAAAUCCUGAAAGAUGAGAA